UGUAGAAAAAACAGAAGUCAAUGCAUGCAUUUUAUAUAUGUAUAUGUGAUACAUUUACAUAUAUAUGCAUAUACAUAAAAAUAUAUGUAUAAACAUAUUUAUGUGUGUACAUACAUAUGUAAAUAUACAUGUAUACAUAUUUGCAUACACUCUAUAAAAAUACACACUAUCAGAAUGAGUUAAUCAUGUUGAAAAGCAAUUAAUCAUUUAGAGCAAAAUAACUAUCCACCCGUAUCCACCCUAAGACAGCUAAUAAAUUUGCAGAAAGAGUGAUUUCAACAAAGUAAACAAGGUACUAUACAUAACUACUCACACCUGAUUUCAGAAAAUAGAGAAAGUUUGUAGGUGUUCUAUAUCAAUUAUAGUUGGACACAGCUAACAGAAAGCCCAAACCCCAAAUCCAUUUAAUGAGGAAAGCACCAUUGAGUAGAUUUUAAGACAGAACAUUCUAGAUGCAAAUGGAGCUUUGGGUAAAGCGUCACAGGAUGUAAUCAGCCCAAGUUUCUCCUUCCUGUUUCUAAGUGAUACUUUCCUGUUUGUUCAUGAUGUCAAGUGGCCUGCUAGAGACUUAUGUACAGAGAAAGGAACAGGAGCCUUUUUUCCAGAAAACCCAAUAAAAACAUCAUUAGGACUUGGGGGCUCUGAUUGACCACACAUCCAAUCGUGUAAAGGUCUGAUUGACAAGACUUGGAUCACUCACCUUCUCCCUGAGCCACUCCAGUGAACACACACCAGAUUGGGAGGGGGAGAGGAGCCUCCAGAGGAAAACAACAGAGGGAUGAAUGCAUGCUAGAGUAAGGGGGGAAAAACAAUGAUCCACUGUUCUUGAAGACCUGUCCUCAUGAAAAUAUGCUUUUCUGAAGAUCAAUCCUCAACUAACAGUUUUGGGCUCUUCUGUCUUGUUUGAGGAACACAUUCAUUUUCAGUCCUUGGCAUUGACUUUUGGCUAGACUCCCAAGUUCAGCUCUGUGGUCUACCCCAUUCUUUUGAGUUAAAUUGUUUGUUUAUGGAUUUUUUUGAGGUGGCAAUGCUAUGCCCUUUCAUUUUAUUUUUUCUAUUGCUCACCAGCUGGAAUUGAGUUGUCGUUGGCCAUGUGGAUGAGUACACCAUCCCCAUGAUGACAGAAUGACAAGGUUGAAAGGCCUGAGCCACUCAGAUUUCCUUCUUAGUAUUGUUUACAUGUAGCUAUAAAAAAAAAUUGUAUCUUAUUUAAUCCACUAGAAUUUGAAGUUUCUAUUACAGCAAAUGUGACUAUAUCCUAACUAAUACAAGCACCUAAAUUUUUUCAAGCAAUGGUUCAGCACUUCAUGUGCUUUAUCACAUUUGAUAUUCACAGUUCCUCGGCUCAGUGGGUCUGAUAAUUAUUUCCAUUUUACAAAUGAAUUGUUUAUGGACUAUUUUCAAAAAACCCCUCUCAAACUCAAGUCUGGGCACUGGAGUAUGUAAACUGGAAGAAUGAGAAAGACAUUUCACAAGAUACUUCUGUGCAGAGAGUUUUAUGGGCACUACUUUAUAGAUUCUCAAAUUCCAUAUAUACUUUUCCCCAAAAGAGAUAAGCCUGACAAGAGACUUGCAUUCCAAAUCAUCUUACUUUACUAAAGAAAGCGAAGUGUCAUAGCUUUCCCAGAUUGCACCAGGGUGGUUAACUCUGGGGCUCCUAUUGAAACAUCCACAGUUUGAAAUACUUGUUUCAACUAUACCUCCAUUAGUGAUUAAUUAAAAUACCUUGAAUUUCAUGCUCUCUUUGUCUUGAUUACUCAUGUCUGUUAGGAAUGAGGUUUGUCCUGCCUUAGAAGGGUCUGAGUUCAGAAAAACCCAAGCAGUACAGGUCAUGAUAUUGGUUGUUAAAAAAAGAACAGUACUGUUUUCUGGGACUAGAAUAUUUUUCAAGAACAUCUUAGACAAAAGCCCACUGAUAAUCUUUACAAUUUUUUUUUCUCACAUUAUAUGGGUAUUAAAGUAGUUAGAACUUAUUUUUAAUCAAAUUAUAAUGUGCAAUUUAAUAUGGUAGUCAAAGUCCUAAUUUUGCCAAAACAUGAAGGUUUAUUCCACUAGAAUAGAUUCUCAUUAUAGUUUAUUUUACUAAAUGUAUUUUUCUUCCUCCAAUAAUUUAAGAAUAAACUUGUACAGUCACUAGUAUGGCAAUACGUAAAAACGUGGAUGUGUAACCGAUGUGAUUCUGCAAUCUGUAUACGGGGUAAAAAUGGGAGUUCAUAACCCACUUGAAUCUAAUGUAUGAAAUAUGAUAUGUCAAGAGCUUUGUAAUGUUUUGAACAACCAAUAAAAA
This 2287-nucleotide long non-coding RNA is filed under the name Marmota monax (woodchuck). The record is from RNAcentral. Lineage: Eukaryota; Metazoa; Chordata; Mammalia; Rodentia; Sciuridae.